GUUCUGGUAGCUCAGCUGGAUAGAGCAACGGAUUUCUAAUCCGUAGGUCGCAGGUUCGAAUCCUGCCCGGAACGCCA
RNAcentral lists this transfer RNA (77 nucleotides) under Lentisphaerae bacterium GWF2_49_21. RNAcentral describes it as "tRNA-Arg". It matches the Rfam family "tRNA". Rfam says of the family: Transfer RNA (tRNA) molecules are approximately 80 nucleotides in length. Their secondary structure includes four short double-helical elements and three loops (D, anti-codon, and T loops). RNAcentral also lists the same sequence under 3 other names. The record is from RNAcentral. Lineage: Bacteria; Pseudomonadati; Lentisphaerota.